UGGUCUCAUAGUUCAACGGAUAGAAUAGGAGUUUCCUAAACUCUUGAUCUGGGUUCGAUUCCCGGUGAGACCACCCA
RNAcentral lists this transfer RNA (77 nucleotides) under Bacteroidetes bacterium OLB12. RNAcentral describes it as "tRNA-Arg". It matches the Rfam family "tRNA". Rfam says of the family: Transfer RNA (tRNA) molecules are approximately 80 nucleotides in length. Their secondary structure includes four short double-helical elements and three loops (D, anti-codon, and T loops). Further hydrogen bonds mediate the characteristic L-shaped molecular structure. tRNAs have two regions of fundamental functional importance: the anti-codon, which is responsible for specific mRNA codon recognition, and the 3' end, to which the tRNAs corresponding amino acid is attached (by aminoacyl-tRNA synthetases). tRNAs cope with the degeneracy of the genetic code in two manners: having more than one tRNA (with a specific anti-codon) for a particular amino acid; and 'wobble' base-pairing, i.e. permitting non-standard base-pairing at the 3rd anti-codon position. The record is from RNAcentral. Lineage: Bacteria; Pseudomonadati; Bacteroidota. RNAcentral also lists the same sequence under 1 other name.